GAGAUUCAAAGUAACCAAAGACUAUGAAGGAGAAGGGGAAAUCCCCCUUACUCUCUUAGAGAGUUUACAAUUCGCCCAUAAAGGGUCUUUAAAUAGAAAACAGGUUGCAAACUCAUAAAACCCUAAGUUAAGGAUAAGAAAUGGACAGUGGAGGUAGCCUGGUUUGAAAUGGACGUUCUGGAUCAGGUCUUGGGGUGUUUGUAGCUGGUUGUAUGCUCCUGAUUGGAUGUGGGAAUGCUUGGCUAGAAAUACUCCACACUGCCUUAUGUAUCUGUCCAUAUCUUUGUCCAGAUACAUAGCCAGCCUUUGUCUCUUUCUUUCCAGCAACAUCCAGCCUGUCUUGGACUAUCAUAAGCCAAUCAGAACCGUGUGCCAGCUCCCUUAGAUUCCCAUUGCACACAGCAUCUUCUUGAUGCUCUUUUGAUACCAUUACUCAACCCGGACCUUGCACAUACUUCUCAGACCGUACCCUUGUACCCUAUUUUUGCACAAGCACCAAAUGUCUUCAGAUGGUUGAGAAAAGAUGUUUCGGGUCGAUCUCAUCCGUACCGGUCCGUACAGUCCGUACGGCCGUCCGUACAGCCGACCCUAACUUUGC
Molecule: long non-coding RNA, 598 nt
Filed under: Brassica rapa (field mustard)
Lineage: Eukaryota; Viridiplantae; Streptophyta; Magnoliopsida; Brassicales; Brassicaceae
Description: long non-coding RNA (BRAP_LNC009008)
Source: RNAcentral